CUACGGGUGGCAGCAGUGAGGAAUAUUGCGCAAUGGGCGAAAGCCUGACGCAGCGACGCCGCGUGGAGGAUGAAGGCCUUCGGGUCGUAAACUUCUGUUAAGUGGGAAGAAAGGCUUAUUCUUAAUACGAAUGAGAGAUGACGGUACCAUUAGAGAAAGCACCGGCUAACUUCGUGCCAGCAGCCGCGGUAAUACGAAGGGUGCAAGCGUUAUUCGGAAUCAUUGGGCGUAAAGGGUACGUAGGCUGUACAUUAAGUCAACUGUUAAAUCUUCCGGCCUAACUGGAAGCUUGCGGUAGAAACUGAUGUACUUGAGGGUGAGAGAGAGAAGUGGAAUUCUCGGAGUAGCGGUAAAAUGCGUGGAUCUCGAGAGGAACACCAAUGGCGAAGGCAGCUUCUUGGCUCAUUCCUGACGCUGAGGUACGAAAGCGUGGGGAGCAAACAGGAUUAGAUACCCGCGUAGUC
This 464-nucleotide ribosomal RNA is filed under the name uncultured bacterium. RNAcentral's name for it is "partial 16S ribosomal RNA". It matches the Rfam family "Bacterial small subunit ribosomal RNA", at positions 339 to 795 of the family's 1533-position model. The record is from RNAcentral.